UCUGGGAUGUGGGAGGUGCACCAUUUGAUAAUGUGCAUUGUACAGCUUCAACAGGAAUUAGGAUCGGACGUACGACAUGUUUUUCGAGAGGCUAAUGGAGCGGCUGAUUAUCUUGCGAAGGAAGCCGCAUCUCAGCAAUUGACUCGGGUUAUGUAUCAGGAGGACAUUACGGGAAAAUUGCGAGGCAUUAUCAGACUGGAUAAACUGGGUACUCCCCACCUUCGCCGGUAAGUCUUAGUGAUGCUUUGAGAUUGAUUUUCGGUUGGGCGGUUGGGGGAGAUAUUGGCGGGGGCAUUACGCAGUAAGUCAGACUACUGUAUAAAAGGGAAGAGCAUGUCUAUAGAUCAAAUUCUACCGUAUUUCUAGACUUGUAUAGAGUUUGCACAUAGAUUAGAAUUUUUUUUAAAGUAAAGGGAGUAAGUACUCCUCAUUUACUGUUUUCGAAUUGUACACUUUAUAAUUUUUUCUGAGUUAAUAAACGGAUAAGGGUCCGCCAAACCCCCCGCAUAGGCACAGGCGGCUUUCGCCAAAAAAAAAAAAGUCUGGUUCCAGCACCCGCGGUAAUUCCAACUCCAAUAGCGCAUAUUUAAAUUGUUGCACUUAAAAAGCUUGUAGUUGGACCUUCGGUUGGGCCGGUCGGUCCGCCUCUGGUGUGCACCGAUUGUCUCAUCCCUUCUGCCGGCAAUGCGCUCCUGGUCUUAAUUGACCAGGGUCGUGCCUCCGGUGCUGUUACUUUGAAGAAAUUAGAGUGCUCGAAGCAAGCCUACGCUCUGUAUACAUUAGCAUGGGAUAACAUUAUAGGAUUUCGGUCCUAUUACGUUGGCCUUCGGGAUCGGAGUAAUGAUUAACAGGGACAGUCGGGGGCAUUCAUAUUUCAUAGUCAAAGGUGAAAUUCUUGGAUUUAUGACAGACGAACAACUGCGAAAGCAUUUGUCAAGGAUGUUUUCAUUAAUUAAGAACGAAAGUUGGGGGAUCGAAGACGACCAGAUACCGUCCUAGUCUCAACCAUAAACGAUGCCGAUCAGGGAUCGGCGGAUGUUGCUUUUAGGACUCCACCGGCACAUUAUGAGAAAUCAAAGUCUUUGGGUUGCAGGGGGAGUAUGGUCGCAAGACUGAAACUUAAAGGAAUUGACGAAAGGGCACCACUAGGAGUGGAGCCUACGGCUUAUUUUGACUCAACAUGGGGAAACUUACCGGGUCCUGACAUAGUAAGUAUUGACAGACUGAGAGCUCUUUCUUGAUUCUAUGGGUGGUGGUGAAUGGCCGUUCUUAGUUGAUGGAGCGUUUGUCUGGUUAAUUCCGUUAACGAACGAGACCUCAGCCUGCUAACUAGCUAUGCGGAGGUAUCCCUCCUCGGCCAGCUUCUUAGAGGGACUACGGCUUUUUAGGCCGCGGAAGUUUGAGGCAAUAACAGGUCUAUGAUGCCCUUAGAUGUUUUCGGCGGCACGCGCGCUACACUGAUGUAUUCAACGAGUCUAUAGCCUUGGCCGACAGGCCCGGGUAAUAUUUGAAAUUUCAUCAUGAUGGGGAUAGAUCAUUACAAUUCUUGGUUUACAACGAGGAAUUUCUAGUAAGCACGAGUCAUCAGCUCGCGUUGACUACGUCCCUGCCCUUUGUACACACCGCCUGUCGCUCCUACCAAUUAAAUGGUCCGGUGAAGUGUUCGGAUCGAGGCGACGUGGGCAGUUCGCUGCCGACGACGUCGCGAGAAAUCCACUGAACCUCAUCAUUUAGAGGAAGGAGAAGUCGUAACAAGGUUUCCGUAGGUGAACCUGCGUAAG
Molecule: ribosomal RNA, 1781 nt
Filed under: Sesamum indicum (sesame)
Lineage: Eukaryota; Viridiplantae; Streptophyta; Magnoliopsida; Lamiales; Pedaliaceae
Description: SSU rRNA
Rfam family: Eukaryotic small subunit ribosomal RNA (bases 433-1781)
Source: RNAcentral